GUGCCAGCAGCCGCGGUAAUACGGAGGGGGCUAGCGUUGUUCGGAAUCACUGGGCGUAAAGCGCGCGUAGGCGGUCCGCACAGUCAGGCGUGAAAGCCCCGGGCUCAACCUGGGAACUGCGCUUGAUACUGGCGGGCUAGAGUACGGGAGAGGGUAGUGGAAUUCCCAGUGUAGAGGUGAAAUUCGUAGAUAUUGGGAAGAACACCAGUGGCGAAGGCGGCUACCUGGACCGGUACUGACGCUGAGGUGCGAAAGCGUGGGGAGCAAACAGGAUUAGAUACCCCGGUAGUCCC
RNAcentral lists this ribosomal RNA (293 nucleotides) under uncultured Defluviicoccus sp. RNAcentral describes it as "partial 16S ribosomal RNA". It matches the Rfam family "Bacterial small subunit ribosomal RNA", at positions 505 to 797 of the family's 1533-position model. The record is from RNAcentral. Lineage: Bacteria; Pseudomonadati; Pseudomonadota; Alphaproteobacteria; Rhodospirillales; Rhodospirillaceae.